RNAcentral lists this ribosomal RNA (506 nucleotides) under Megophrys sp. SIH-2003. Its description in RNAcentral is "partial 16S ribosomal RNA". It matches the Rfam family "Bacterial large subunit ribosomal RNA", at positions 1852 to 2567 of the family's 2925-position model. The record is from RNAcentral. Lineage: Eukaryota; Metazoa; Chordata; Amphibia; Anura; Megophryidae.
GUAAUGCCUGCCCAGUGACCAUGUGUUCAACGGCCGCGGUAUUCUGACCGCGCGAAGGUAGCGUAAUCACUUGUCUUCUAAAUAAAGACUAGUAUGAACGGCCACACGAAGACUUAACUGUCUCCCCUGUCCAAUCAGUGAAACUGAUCUCCUUGUGCAGAAGCGAGGAUAAACCCAUAAGACGAGAAGACCCUAUGGAGCUUUAAACUUAAUAUUAACUAUUUCUAUAAUCCCCUCUAAGGAAUUAACAAAUAACCCUUUUUCAACUUAAUAUUAGUUUUAGGUUGGGGCGACCAUGGAGAAAAAAAUAUCCUCCCUGAUGACUUUUAAACCAAGAGCUACAACUCUAAGUAUUAAGAUACUUAACUUCCAUUGACCCAUUUUAUGAUCAACGAACCAAGUUACCCUAGGGAUAACAGCGCAAUCCAUUUCAAGAGUCCCUAUCGACAAAUGGGUUUACGACCUCGAUGUUGGAUCAGGGCAUCCCAGUGGUGCAACCGCUACUA